This 294-nucleotide ribosomal RNA is filed under the name Triticum aestivum (bread wheat). RNAcentral's name for it is "partial small subunit ribosomal RNA". The record is from RNAcentral. Lineage: Eukaryota; Viridiplantae; Streptophyta; Magnoliopsida; Poales; Poaceae.
AUGUGGGGAGGCGGCGAGUUAGUAGCAGUAGGUGGCAAAGUGGCUUUGUUACCUAUUCCAUUAGGAACAAUAAAUUUUUUAGUCCAUCACAUUCAUGCAUUUACCAUACAUGUGACUGUAUUAAUACUUUUGAAAGGUGUUUUAUUUGCUCGGAGUUCCCGUUUGAUACUUGAUAAAGCAAAUCUAGGUUUUCGCUUUCCUUGCGAUGGGCCUGGCUGAGGGGGAACAUGUCAAGUAUCCGCCUGGGAUCAUGUUUUCUUAGGUUUAUUUUGGAUGUACAAUGCAUUUAGUUAG